Non-coding RNA from Chiloscyllium plagiosum (whitespotted bambooshark), 1544 nucleotides. NCBI's taxonomy places the organism in Eukaryota, Metazoa, Chordata, Chondrichthyes, Orectolobiformes, Hemiscylliidae. The record is from RefSeq and is a predicted model, not a curated record.
UGCUGUAUAUGUCGAUGACUCUAAUUUAACUUGAUAAGAUGGUGUCCAGUGGUCAUGUGACCUUUUGCCUUUUCUGUAUGGACAGACUCUGAUUAAUGUCUGAACGUGUAUGGGAAGUUACCUAAUAGGUAAGCAGCCUUCCCAGGUUUUCUGGUCUCACGGAGACAGAAGUGCAAAUUAGGAUAUUUGGAGGCUAUUCAUAUCUGAAAAUUGAUGGGUUCAUAAAAUAUUGUUCACUGUGUCAUGAUUGCUUAGCCUUUCAAAUUAUUUGUGUGGACAAUGGGAACAUUGAUAUGGUGGUCACAUGACAGAAACUGGUUUACAGUAGGAAUCACCUUUUAAUAACCAGGGCAGUCCAGGGAGUCCUCUGAAACUAAGACCAUGGCAAGAAACAUUUGCGCUCAGGAAAGGAAGAACCUUACAAGGAAAUUACAUGGAACCCAAACAUGGACAAAAAGAGAAGUAUUGGUCUUAACCUGCAGACUGCAUCUUUAUUACAUGGGUUUAGUCACAACUUCAACUGGAAAAUGCAGAAAUCUGGUGUUGCAUGACGUUAGCCACUGUCAGUUUAUUGCCAGAAAUCUCUAAUCUCUAUUGUCUUCAGUGAACCAAAAAAGAAUGCUCAGACCCAGAACAGUUCCAUUUUGAGAAUGCGCAGUAAAAUUGACUUUUUGGACUCUUGGUAAUCUAAGUGUAUGUUAUGUAUUUUGUAAACACUUUUUCUUGUGUGUGUGCAUCUUGUGUGGAUUACUGAGUGGGUGCUGUCUGAUUUACAUUUUGUUUGUUGAGAAAAUAAAAGUUUAUUCAUUCUUUUAAUUUAAACCUCUGAGAAAGUCUGACAAGAACUACAACGACACUCAGGAAUGGGUGAAGCGAUGAAACCAAAGGAGGGGGGUAAAUGAAAUACAGACGGAAAUUCAGAGGUCACAGUUACAAGUUAAAAGGAAGGACCAGGUUAAAGUUAUUUGGAGUGAAAGUAUCUGUGUUCUCAAGAUUCUGCUGAGCUCAUCAGAAUUAUGCUGCUCUCACAAACCAAUUACUGACUCAUGGAAAGGGCAGAGAUACUAAACUGCAAAGAAUUAAAAGGAGAGUCCAGAUGUCUAACCAAUUAUCAGGAAACAGGCACCAACACUGGAAUGCUUUAAUGAAAGUGAGAUGUAAAGUAACAAGUGGAAGCCGCAAAAACAAAAGAGACCAUUCAGCUCCAGGUCUCAUUUCAGCGUGGCUCAGACAAGGACAAAAGAACUGAAUUCCACAGGACUAAAAGCCAACAAAUAUCCUGGACCUGAUGAUGGCCUGGAGUUAUCGAGAUAGUGAACCUUGAUCAGUUUAAUGUUCCAGACGUCCAUAGAUUUGUAGAAUGAUCCACGUGAAUUGAAGGUUAGCAAACCUAACAUGGCUAUUCAAAAAAAAUGGAGACACAAUUACAGAAUCCCUACCGUAUUGGAGUAGUUAUUUAGCCCGUCAAGUCUGAACCAACCCUCCGAACAGCAUCCCAACGCCCUCCCUUAUAACCCUACAUUUCCUGUGGCUAAUCCACCUAU